Long non-coding RNA from Fundulus heteroclitus (mummichog), 1481 nucleotides. RefSeq lists it as uncharacterized. The record is from RefSeq and is a predicted model, not a curated record. The transcript is spliced from 3 exons. NCBI's taxonomy places the organism in Eukaryota, Metazoa, Chordata, Actinopteri, Cyprinodontiformes, Fundulidae.
CAAUAAAUAUUUCUUAACAUUUAUUUUUUGAUACUUCUGCAACAUGUCCACCAAGUCAAAUGUAACUUUCUCCUUAAUGAGAUUGUCAGUUUUCUUUCCCCUUCAUACUGCUAUCAACACAUCACUACAUGUUCAACUGAUUCUACUUGUCCACAAUAAUCGCAUCUACCUAAAAUGUGUUUUCCUAUGUUGACUAAAGUUUUAUUGAAUAUAAUAUGUCCAAAUCCAAGUCUUGAAAUAAUUGCUUCUUCCAUUCUUUUGCUUUUUUGCUUUCCUCAUUUCUCCAACUUUCCACUGAAUUCUAUAAAACCAUCUUCCUUUCUUCUCUUCUUCCCAUCACUUUUGCCACCUUUCCUUCUGUUUUGGUUUAAUGAUACUUUUAAUUUCUGUCUUACUAAAGUUAACCGUCAUGUCAAUGGAUCUAUUUCUUUGAUUCCCCCUUAGCAGCCUUAUCUGCAAUUUCAUUUCCUUUAAUUCCUUUAUGUGCUGGUACCCACAGAAAUGUAACAUUAACACCCCUCAUUUGAAUUUGGUGCAAUACUUGUGUUUCAAUCAGAACAUCUUAUCUACUUUCUGAAAAAUGAUUUUGGAAACUGGUUAAUGUAGAGCUUGAGUUGGAACAGAUAAGUAAUCUUAAUGGUCUUACAUCCUCUAUCCAUUGCAAAGCCAGAAAUAUUGCUAACAUUUCUCCAGUGUGUACUGACAGCUCAUCAUUUAUUCUUUUAUUUACUCUGAAAUUAAAUUCUGGAACAUAAAAUCCAACACCUAGUGUAUCACCUAAACUUUUCUGCUAUAUCUGUAGAUCAGUUGUGCUCUUGUGAUGCAAUCAGUGACAUCAUGGACCUAUACAAACCGGAAGUGCUGGGCCGGCCACGCCCACACACCUGCUCUGGAUGUAGGAUCUAAACAAAGGGACAAACGAUGCGCCCGUCGGCUAGCAGCCUGCCUCCGAUGUGAAGGCCAGAGACUGACAUGGAAUAAAGAUGGAGAAACCGUACUGAGGAGAGGACAUGGGGGACGGAAAAGAGAAGACGCGACAAGCAGGGGCCAUGGUAAUCCUAGCCCAAGGCACACCCCAAAGUGCUCACUGAGGCAAUUUCUGCAAGUCUCCUAAUGCAUCAAGAAAGGAGGAAGGGACCCUGAUCCAAGGUUGACAGCUAUCCACCCCUGCUCUGACAGAAACACUUGAACUCCUAAGCACAAAGUCUCUUCCCUUGGCAGGAAUAGAGGUGCAUUUAUUUCUGAGCUUCUUUUGGCAGUCCCUUUCACCAAGUUUUUGGAAGAAUAAGAGAAGAAGGAAAAAAAAAGAUAAACAAAUAAGAAAAAGCAAGAAAUUCUGCAGACAUUCUCAAGGUCACUGUAAGGUGAUGGUAAACCAGAGAGGAGAAGCAUGCACGGAUGAACAUGAGGCCAAACUUGUAUUGUGACCUUCUCGGUGAGACUUAUAACUAAGUGGCCUUUUAGUUUAACCUUUAACCCCU